This 550-nucleotide ribosomal RNA is filed under the name fungal sp. GZ-2010a. RNAcentral describes it as "eukaryotic LSU rRNA". The stretch from base 228 to 383 matches the Rfam family "5.8S ribosomal RNA". Lineage: Eukaryota; Fungi. The record is from RNAcentral.
UGGAAGUAAAAGUCGUAACAAGGUCUCCGUUGGUGAACCAGCGGAGGGAUCAUUACUGAGUUUACGCUCUACAACCCUUUGUGAACAUACCUAUAACUGUUGCUUCGGCGGGUAGGGUCUCCGUGACCCUCCCGGCCUCCCGCCCCCGGGCGGGUCGGCGCCCGCCGGAGGAUAACCAAACUCUGAUUUAACGACGUUUCUUCUGAGUGGUACAAGCAAAUAAUCAAAACUUUUAACAACGGAUCUCUUGGUUCUGGCAUCGAUGAAGAACGCAGCGAAAUGCGAUAAGUAAUGUGAAUUGCAGAAUUCAGUGAAUCAUCGAAUCUUUGAACGCACACAUUGCGCCCGCCAGCAUUCUGGCGGGCAUGCCUGUUCGAGCGUCAUUUCAACCCUCAAGCUCUGCUUGGUGUUGGGGCCCUACAGCUGAUGUAGGCCCUCAAAGGUAGUGGCGGACCCUCCCGGAGCCUCCUUUGCGUAGUAACUUUACGUCUCGCACUGGGAUCCGGAGGGACUCUUGCCGUAAAACCCCCAAUUUUCCAAAGGUGACCUC